RNAcentral lists this ribosomal RNA (407 nucleotides) under uncultured bacterium. Its description in RNAcentral is "partial 16S ribosomal RNA". It matches the Rfam family "Bacterial small subunit ribosomal RNA", at positions 28 to 526 of the family's 1533-position model. The record is from RNAcentral.
GACGAACGCUGGCGGCGUGCCUAAUACAUGCAAGUAGGACGCAGUUGCGAACGGGUGAUUAACGCGUCGGUAACUACCUAUUAGUGGGGGAUAACUAUUGGAACCGAUAGCUCAUACCGCAUACUAGUAGAUUGACCUGCUUUGUAUUAGCUAGUAGGUAGGGUAAUGGCCUACCUAGGCAACGAUACAUGGCCGACCCUGGAGGGGGAUCGGCCCACAGGGGAACGAGGACCGGCCCAGACUCCUUAGGGAGGCAGCAGGUGGGAAGUUUGGGCAAUGGGGGGAACCCUGACUGAGCAACGCCGGGUGAGUGAAGAAGGUUGUCGGAUCGUAAAGCUCUUUUGUUAAGGAAGCGGUACUUAACCAGAAAGGGACGGCUAACUACGUGCCAGCCGCCGCGGUAAUAC